RNAcentral lists this ribosomal RNA (405 nucleotides) under uncultured bacterium. RNAcentral describes it as "bacterial SSU rRNA". It matches the Rfam family "Bacterial small subunit ribosomal RNA", at positions 356 to 773 of the family's 1533-position model. The record is from RNAcentral.
GGGGAAUAUUGCACAAUGGGCGCAAGCCUGAUGCAGCAACGCCGCGUGAGGGAUGACGGCCUUCGGGUUGUAAACCUCUUUUAGUAGGGAAGAAGCGAAAGUGACGGUACCUGCAGAAAAAGCACCGGCUAACUACGUGCCAGCAGCCGCGGUAAUACGUAGGGUGCAAGCGUUGUCCGGAAUUAUUGGGCGUAAAGAGCUCGUAGGCGGCUUGUCGCGUCUGCUGUGAAAUCCCGAGGCUUAACCUCGGGCCUGCAGUGGGUACGGGCAAGCUAGAGUGCGGUAGGGGAGAUUGGAAUUCCUGGUGUAGCGGUGGAAUGCGCAGAUAUCAGGAGGAACACCGAUGGCGAAGGCAGAUCUCUGGGCCGUAACUGACGCUGAGGAGCGAAAGCAUGGGGAGCGAAC